This 72-nucleotide transfer RNA is filed under the name uncultured bacterium. Its description in RNAcentral is "tRNA-Arg". It matches the Rfam family "tRNA". Rfam says of the family: Transfer RNA (tRNA) molecules are approximately 80 nucleotides in length. Their secondary structure includes four short double-helical elements and three loops (D, anti-codon, and T loops). The record is from RNAcentral.
GCAUCAUUAGCUCAAUGGAUAGAGCACUAGUUUUCUAAACUAAUUAUAUGGGUUCGAUUCCCAUAUGAUGCU